AAUUGACCUUCCGAGGUGGGCGAACGGGUGAGUAACACGUGGGUGAUCUGCCCUGCACUUCGGGAUAAGCCUGGGAAACUGGGUCUAAUACCGGAUAGGACCACGGGAUGCAUGUCUUGUGGUGGAAAGCGCUUUAGCGGUGUGGGAUGAGCCCGCGGCCUAUCAGCUUGUUGGUGGGGUGACGGCCUACCAAGGCGACGACGGGUAGCCGGCCUGAGAGGGUGUCCGGCCACACUGGGACUGAGAUACGGCCCAGACUCCUACGGGAGGCAGCAGUGGGGAAUAUUGCACAAUGGGCGCAAGCCUGAUGCAGCGACGCCGCGUGGGGGAUGACGGCCUUCGGGUUGUAAACCUCUUUCACCAUCGACGAAGGUCCGGGUUCUCUCGGAUUGACGGUAGGUGGAGAAGAAGCACCGGCCAACUACGUGCCAGCAGCCGCGGUAAUACGUAGGGUGCGAGCGUUGUCCGGAAUUACUGGGCGUAAAGAGCUCGUAGGUGGUUUGUCGCGUUGUUCGUGAAAUCUCACGGCUUAACUGUGAGCGUGCGGGCGAUACGGGCAGACUAGAGUACUGCAGGGGAGACUGGAAUUCCUGGUGUAGCGGUGGAAUGCGCAGAUAUCAGGAGGAACACCGGUGGCGAAGGCGGGUCUCUGGGCAGUAACUGACGCUGAGGAGCGAAAGCGUGGGGAGCGAACAGGAUUAGAUACCCUGGUAGUCCACGCCGUAAACGGUGGGUACUAGGUGUGGGUUUCCUUCCUUGGGAUCCGUGCCGUAGCUAACGCAUUAAGUACCCCGCCUGGGGAGUACGGCCGCAAGGCUAAAACUCAAAGGAAUUGACGGGGCCCGCACAGCGCGAGCAUGUGAUUAUUCGAUGCACGCGAGACUACUGGUGUUUUUU
RNAcentral lists this ribosomal RNA (897 nucleotides) under Mycobacterium tuberculosis. Its description in RNAcentral is "bacterial SSU rRNA". It matches the Rfam family "Bacterial small subunit ribosomal RNA", at positions 79 to 985 of the family's 1533-position model. The record is from RNAcentral. Lineage: Bacteria; Bacillati; Actinomycetota; Actinomycetes; Mycobacteriales; Mycobacteriaceae.